Molecule: ribosomal RNA, 70 nt
Filed under: uncultured Flavobacteriales bacterium
Lineage: Bacteria; Pseudomonadati; Bacteroidota; Flavobacteriia; Flavobacteriales
Description: partial 16S ribosomal RNA
Source: RNAcentral
AAUACUUAGGCGGCGACCGGCAAACGGGUGCGGAACACGUACACAAACUUCCUUCCAAUGUGGAAUAGCC